GAUGAACGCUGGCGGCGUGCCUAAUACGUGCAAGUCGAGCGAACAGACGAGGAGCUUGCUCCUCUGACGUUAGCGGCGGACGGGUGAGUAACACGUGGAUAACCUACCUAUAAGACUGGGAUAACUUCGGGAAGCCGGAGCUAAUACCGGAUAAUAUAUUGAACCGCAUGGUUCAAUAGUGAAAGACGGUGUUGCUGUCACUUAUAGAUGGAUCCGCGCCGCAUUAGCUAGUUGGUAAGGUAACGGCUUACCAAGGCAACGAUGCGUAGCCGACCUGAGAGGGUGGUCGGCCACACUGGAACUGAGACACGGUCCAGACUCCUACGGGAGGCAGCAGUAGGGAAUCUUCCGCAAUGGGCGAAAGCCUGACGGAGCAACGCCGCGUGAGUGAUGAAGGUCUUCGGAUCGUAAAACUCUGUUAUUAGGGAAGAACAAAUGUGUAAGUAACUAUGCACGUCUUGACGGUACCUAAUCAGAAAGCCACGGCUAACUACGUG
Molecule: ribosomal RNA, 497 nt
Filed under: uncultured bacterium
Lineage: Bacteria
Description: partial 16S ribosomal RNA
Rfam family: Bacterial small subunit ribosomal RNA
Source: RNAcentral